ACCCUGACGCAGCGACGCCGCGUGGGUGAAGAAGGCCUUCGGGUCGUAAAGCCCUGUCUAGAGGGAAGAACUUCUCAACGGAACAAUACCCGUUGAGACUGACGGUACCUCUGGAGGAAGCACCGGCUAACUCCGUGCCAGCAGCCGCGGUAAUACGGAGGGUGCGAGCGUUGUUCGGAAUUACUGGGCGUAAAGCGGGUGUAGGCGGUUUGUUAAGUCAAAUGUGAAAGCCCACGGCUCAACCGUGGAAGUGCAUCUGAAACUGGCAGACUUGAGUACCGGAGAGGGAAGUGGAAUUCCUGGUGUAGGGGUGAAAUCCGUAGAUAUCAGGAGGAACACCGGUGGCGAAAGCGACUUCCUGGACGGAUACUGACGCUGAGAUCCGAAAGCGUGGGGAGCAAACAGGAUUAGAUACCCUGGUAGUCCACGCCCUAAACGAUGGGCACUAGGUGCAGGGAGUGUUGACCCUUUCUGUGCCGUAGCUAACGCAUUAAGUGCCCCGCCUGGGGAGUACGGUCGCAAGGUUGAAACUCAAAGGAAAUUGACGGG
Molecule: ribosomal RNA, 549 nt
Filed under: uncultured delta proteobacterium
Lineage: Bacteria; Deltaproteobacteria
Description: bacterial SSU rRNA
Rfam family: Bacterial small subunit ribosomal RNA
Source: RNAcentral